AAAGGGAGACCUAAUUCCAGUAGGAGACGAAAAAAAAGUAGUCCCUACCAAGAAUCAAUCCCAAAAGGUCGGAGCGAGGCAAAAUUGGCUUUCAAACUAGGUUCUGGGUUCACACAAGACCUGAAUCAGGAACAAGGGCUAUUAGCUCAGGUGGUUAGAGCGCACCCCUGAUAAGGGUGAGGUCCCUGGUUCGAGUCCAGGAUGGCCCACCUGCACAGGUGGAAGAAAGAAAAGAAGCUCCGAAUCAGCACCUUAUCUUACUCAUAUAGUAAGAGAGAAUGCUGGCUCUGAGUACAGAGUCCAGAGGAACCUUGAAAACUGCAUAGAGCUAGGUGAAAAAGCCAAAAAAGAAGACCGCAAG
RNAcentral lists this transfer RNA (361 nucleotides) under uncultured Microcystis sp. RNAcentral describes it as "partial 16S-23S ribosomal RNA intergenic spacer". The stretch from base 136 to 209 matches the Rfam family "tRNA". The record is from RNAcentral. Lineage: Bacteria; Bacillati; Cyanobacteriota; Cyanophyceae; Chroococcales; Microcystaceae.